This 439-nucleotide ribosomal RNA is filed under the name uncultured bacterium. Its description in RNAcentral is "bacterial SSU rRNA". It matches the Rfam family "Bacterial small subunit ribosomal RNA", at positions 335 to 766 of the family's 1533-position model. The record is from RNAcentral.
ACUCCUACGGGGAGGCAGCAGUAGGGAAUCUUCCACAAUGGGCGCAAGCCUGAUGGAGCAACACCGCGUGAGUGAAGAAGGGUUUCGGCUCGUAAAGCUCUGUUGUUAAAGAAGAACACGUAUGAGAGUAACUGUUCAUACGUUGACGGUAUUUAACCAGAAAGUCACGGCUAACUACGUGCCAGCAGCCGCGGUAAUACGUAGGUGGCAAGCGUUAUCCGGAUUUAUUGGGCGUAAAGAGAGUGCAGGCGGUUUUCUAAGUCUGAUGUGAAAGCCUUCGGCUUAACCGGAGAAGUGCAUCGGAAACUGGAUAACUUGAGUGCAGAAGAGGUAGUGGAACUCCAUGUGUAGCGGUGGAAUGCGUAGAUAUAUGGAAGAACACCAGUGGCGAAGGCGGCUACCUGGUCUGCAACUGACGCUGAGACUCGAAAGCAUGGGU